CCUUUAUUAUAAUUACAUAAACGUGGUUGUGUAUUUUCUAUAGUUUGUAUUGUAUUACAUUUUUUACCAAUUGUUUGUUAGCAAGGUUUAUUCUUUUUUUAUAAUGAACAAAUUAUACGAAAGUGCUUUAUUUUAUCCCAAAUCAGUUUAACAAAAUCAAAAGAAAUGCAAUUGUUGGCAAAUUUUAUUUGGUUUUCAGUUGACAAUUCAGAUAUGAAAUAUUGCAUUUCAACAGCAGGGAGCAGUGUGUAACUAGAAGAUUUCUAUGGUAUUGCUGAAGGUAAUGAAGAAUAUAGCAAAAGAAAUGUAAAAAUACAAAAAAUUAAAUAAUACAAAUUGUGACAUGCGGAUGCCAGUUUCGAGCUACAGAAACCCAUUAUUAAUUAUAAUUUUGUUUAGCAAGCAUAGAGAUUACAAUUGCCAACAUGCAGGCAAAAUUAUUAUUGUGCUACAUCUUAUUAUUGACUUAUUCAUAUUGUACUGCUAAAUACACAAUUCUAUUUAGGUGACAAAACAUACGUGUGGAUUAAUGUUCGUAAUGAAUAUACAGUUAAUAAAUAUUGUGCUGCUUUAGAGUUAUUUGAACAAUAGAAAGGUGGAUAUGUGUACGUACAGUAAACAAGUUAUCAUAACUAAAUUUAGGGACAUUAUUUAAAGAUCAUAAUAGAUGUGUAUUCACUAUAUCAUGCACUGUGGUAGGUUACUAGCUGACAAUGCAAAAAAAUAAGACAAAUAUGGCACAAGACCUGCAAGUCAUAUGUUCAGGGAACAUAUACAAUUUUAGAAAAAGCAACGCUUAUGUAAAUAAAAUAGUUAUAUAAUUAGACACUAUUGCGUAAACAUACACCAGUUCUUGGGUCCACAAGCUAUUUGAAAGUAUGUACUCACUAAUAUAUAAUAUAAAGAAUCAAAGCUCUAAAUGGCACAAACUUUUAGUUGAAGAGACACUGCAAGUGGAAAAAUACAUUACUCAUUUUGAAUGUAUAAUACAUAUAAAUCAUUAAAAUAAGCAAGCAUAAUAAGAAAAAAAAACUAGAAAAAGAAAUAGCUUAAAGGGUCACUCCAAACAUCAAGUACCACAGCUCGCCGGUGCUCCCUGGUGGUUCGGUGACACGCUUACGACUUCUGCGGCUCUGAAUGGCUGUCACCAGUUAUUGGCUGAGAGUGUCAGCUGACACUUCUCAGUCCGUGGCUAAAAUUCAGAGCAACAAAAGCUUGUCAAUGAUCCCUCAAUUGUUACAUUUACAGCAGCAGAGUGUUAAACUCUAUAUGUGCAGCAUUUCAAAGCAGAAUGCUGCACAUAGAGACUCCAAGCACCAUGGCCUCUACAAAUCAGUGAAGUGGUAAUAGUGCUUAAAUAACCCAUUAAAGUCCCUAAAACAUGAGCUUUUACACAGGCAAGUGUUUGCCCCUGGCAGGACCAUCUUAGACCAGCGAUAGGCUCCAUCAGUCAGUAACCUUUCAGUUUACUCUAUGGAUCUUUAUUAGUCCAUUAGCCCGUGCCUAGCAUACGUUUAUGGGAUACGUAGUACAUCUCUCAUUUGUAGUUCCACCUAUCAAAUACAAUGAGUGAAACUGCUGAAUGAGCCAACAGAAAUCAGUGGCUGCUCAGUUUGAAGAUCAUGUGUGUCUAUUUACUAUAAUAGAAUAGAAUAAUAAUAUACCUGUUUUUGUUUAAACUUUUUAUUUUAUUUAGCCUAUUUUAACUUGUUGUUUUAUCCAUGCCAAUCUUAAAGCACUUUUCAAGGUCACGUGCAUUCUAAUAAAAAGACCAUCUCCAACAAUUGUAAAAACAAGCACAAAUAUAGUAACUUGUCACCUCCCUAAGUUAUCCCAGACGUUCAAACCAUUAUUUCCCUCUAUAAUAUGCAAGUGCUAUGGAAAAUAAUAUGAUUUCUUUGCUAUUAUGAGAAGUACUGUAGAUUACAAAAGACCACUUUCUAUUGUCCCUUUUCACGUCCGUUUUACUUUUCAGCUACUCUAAUUACUUGUAUUUAUUUUCCGCUGUAUACAUUCAUUCUUUAACUACCUCACAUCUUUUACAAAUCCUCAAUAUCACCAUUUAAAUUUUUCCUUUUUGCUGUAAUUUUCACACUUCUGAUAUGUUUAUAAACCCCAACACACAGAGUAAGACCUCAGUAAAUGGACAUGUUUCUGCAGAGGCGGCUCUCUAAUUAGGCGAUUUAGGCGGCUGCCUAAGGCCACGUAUAGUCUGGGGCCUCGCGGCCGCCUAAAUCGCCAUAGGGCAGGCUGACAUGUCAGGUCUUCGGUCUAUGACUGAGGGCCUGCACAGGAGGGGGCCCGGUGGGUUGCUUAUAAUGCCGCAGGGUGCAAAGUCAGUCUGCUCGGGAGAGAACCAGCCUUCAGUCUGCAGCUCUGUCGGGUGUCUCGCGAUCGAGGCCAAUCAGAGCAUUGCCGUGGAUUACCACGGCAAUGCUCUGACUGGAGAUCGCAAGAGUUACCACGUGGUGUGCAGCUCUGUACCUGGCGGAGCUGCAGACUAGAUAGGGAGCCUACAGGACCACCAGAGAUACAGCCUACCCACUGGACCACCAGGGAAUCAAUUUAAAAAAGGUAUUUAUGACUCCCUACCCUGUCAUAGUCUCAGCUCCCCCACCACUUCCUUCCUUGUCACACA
RNAcentral lists this long non-coding RNA (2638 nucleotides) under Pelobates cultripes (western spadefoot toad). The record is from RNAcentral. Lineage: Eukaryota; Metazoa; Chordata; Amphibia; Anura; Pelobatidae.